CGAUUGCCAUGAACCGUACCCUACAUCACCUUCCCUAAAUGUUUUUCAACUAAAGUCUUGCCACCAACAAACCCCCAAUAAAAACCAACCACUCCAGCUCCACUACUUCCAGAGGACAGCCCCGUCGCACUGCUUUCUUCAGCGCCCUUCAGAUGAGCGAGUGGUACAUCUACCAUGCCACUAGAACUAAAGUAAUUAGCUAUCAAGCUUAGCACGCAACCUUUAACCACAUAGACCGGCCGUAAACAGGACUUAACCGCACUGACUCCAACCUGCCUGCUCUGCCAAGCCGGACGCAGCCGCUCGCUGUGCCUUCCCGCCCGCAGCCAUGUGGCGGGGCGCAUUCUUUGUGUUGGGCCUCCACGCCCGGCCGCGCUCCCAACUCCAAGGCCCGUCCGUCUGCCUGGGCUUUCAUUCUUUUGCCGCGAGAUGACAGACUUGCUUGCCACCUUCCCGCCGGCGCCGCUUCCGGGCUAAUAAGUUGGGGUGGUCGUGCCCUCCUUCUCCGCCUUCACUCUAUCACCGUGGGGGGAGUGCAGACGUGCUUGAACCCCCAGCUGAUUCUGAAUCCAUGCCGUCCUCUGCUCCUUCCCAAAGCUCACCAG
Non-coding RNA from Pelobates cultripes (western spadefoot toad), 605 nucleotides. The record is from the annotation of a GenBank genome assembly. Lineage: Eukaryota; Metazoa; Chordata; Amphibia; Anura; Pelobatidae.